RNAcentral lists this ribosomal RNA (375 nucleotides) under uncultured bacterium. RNAcentral describes it as "bacterial SSU rRNA". It matches the Rfam family "Bacterial small subunit ribosomal RNA", at positions 521 to 896 of the family's 1533-position model. The record is from RNAcentral.
UAAGACGGAGGGUGCUAGCGUUGUUCGGAAUGACUGGGCGUAAAGGGCGCGUAGGCGGCUCGUGAAGUCGGGUGUGAAAGCCCGGGGCUCAACCCCGGAACGGCAUCCGAUACUGGCGGGCUUGAGACCGGGAGAGGAGGGUGGAAUACCCAGUGUAGAGGUGAAAUUCGUAGAUAUUGGGUGGAACACCGGUGGCGAAAGCGGCUCUCUGGCCCGGAUCUGACGCUGAGGCGCGAAAGCGUGGGGAGCAAACAGGAUUAGAUACCCUGGUAGUCCACGCCCUAAACGAUGUGCGCUAGAUGUCGGGGGGCUUGCCCCUCGGUGUCGGAGCUAACGUGUUAAGCGCACCGCCUGGGAAGUACGGCCGCAAGGUUA